RNAcentral lists this ribosomal RNA (429 nucleotides) under Bacteroidota bacterium. RNAcentral's name for it is "Bacteroidetes bacterium partial 16S ribosomal RNA". It matches the Rfam family "Bacterial small subunit ribosomal RNA", at positions 355 to 776 of the family's 1533-position model. Lineage: Bacteria; Pseudomonadati; Bacteroidota. The record is from RNAcentral.
UAGGGAAUCUUCCGCUAUGGACGCAAGUCUGACGGAGCAACGCCGCGUGAGUGAAGAAGGAUUUCGGUUCGUAAAACUCUGUUGUUAGAGAAGAACAGCGCAUAGAGUAACUGUUAUGCGUGUGACGGUAUCUAACCAGAAAGCCACGGCUAACUACGUGCCAGCAGCCGCGGUAAUACGUAGGUGGCAAGCGUUGUCCGGAUUUAUUGGGCGUAAAGCGAGCGCAGGCGGUCAAUUAAGUCUGAUGUGAAAGCCCCCGGCUCAACCGGGGAGGGUCAUUGGAAACUGGUUGACUUGAGUGCAGAAGAGGAGAGUGGAAUUCCAUGUGUAGCGGUGAAAUGCGCAGAGAUAUGGAGGAACACCAGUGGCGAAGGCGACUUUCUGGUCUGUAACUGACGCUGAUGUGCGAAAGCGUGGGGAUCAAACAGG